CCUACGGGGGGCAGCAGUGAGGAAUAGUGGUCAAUGGACGGAAGUCUGAACCAGCCAUGCCGCGGGCAGGAAGACGGCGCUAUGAGGUGUAAAAUGCUGUUGUACAAGGGUAAACCUGAAUACGUGUAUUCAGCUGAAAGUACUGUACGAAUAAGGAUCGGCUAACUCCGUGCCAGCAGCCGCGGUAAUACGGAGGAUCCAAGCGUUAUCCGGAUUUAUUGGGUUUAAAGGGUGCGUAGGCGGAUUGCUAAGUUAGAGGUGAAAUGUCCGAGCUGAACUCGGGAACUGCCUCUCAUACGGUUGAUCUAGAGCGUAGGUGCGGUAGGCGGAAUGUCUGGUGUAGCGG
RNAcentral lists this ribosomal RNA (346 nucleotides) under uncultured bacterium. RNAcentral describes it as "partial 16S ribosomal RNA". It matches the Rfam family "Bacterial small subunit ribosomal RNA", at positions 338 to 681 of the family's 1533-position model. The record is from RNAcentral.